CAAACAUUUAAGCAUUUAGCUAACAAUGCCAAGGUUAAAUUCCCAGGGAAUGCAAAAAGUGUCAAAUGUACACCUUGAAAGAAGCGCAAGUCACUUUGAAUUAAAAACAUCUGCAAUAUUCAUAAAUGUAGAUUAAAUACAUUGAUAGCAAUGGUGAUUUAAAAAGUCAAUCUAUCAUUCAAGCUAAAGUGUCUAACAGGUUUUUUUUUUUUUUUUCAGAGGCAAAGUGAGGACACACGCCACAUCCAGCGUUGCAACUUUUCAUUAGUUUAACUUAAGAUAACUCACUUGAUAAGAAAUUCAAAUGAAGUCAUUAAAAGUCUCCUCUGGGUUCAGACCAACAAAGGUCUCAUUUGUUUCUUAUCCUCUCUUAACCCAUUCUAAGAACAGAACAAAUCCUUGUGACAAGAAUGCCAUUGCCCUGGAUCUGGAUCUGGAAAACCUGGAUGUUUGGACUCUCAUUCUGACAGCACCCAUUGGAUCCAUUGGUUGUGAAAGCACUAAGGUGGCUCUCUGAUGCUCCGGUAAAACCCAGGGAACUCAUUUGUAAUGACAACAUGCUUGUGGAGACAUCUGUAAGAUAAAUGACUCAGGAAAUAAAUAAAAAAAG
This is a long non-coding RNA of Cyprinus carpio carpio, 610 nucleotides long. The record is from Ensembl. Lineage: Eukaryota; Metazoa; Chordata; Actinopteri; Cypriniformes; Cyprinidae.